UCAGUGUUUAAUUUCCUGUUACAUUAGGGUUGAAGAGUCACAUACUACAGGGUGAAUUUAAUGUAUAAACUCUGGAGCAUCCAUCUAACCAGUUUCAUCAGACUAACAGGACCACAGCAAGAAGUUUGGAGGCCCCUGUAACUCCUACGGUCAAACCAAAAUGCCGACUUCUUCCAGUCCUUUUAACAGCACCUUCAGGCCACACACAAGAGGACAAUCUGAGCCUAGAGCAUGCAGUCUGGUAGGAGUUAUCCAGGUCCUGACAGAAUCUCGGCUGCUGUGGGAUGGUGAGAAGAGAUGCCAAAACACAAUGUUUUGCUUCACCUUUUUUUUUCUAAUAUCUCAUUAAAAUACCCAACUCCACUGUGAA
Molecule: long non-coding RNA, 370 nt
Filed under: Fukomys damarensis (Damara mole-rat)
Lineage: Eukaryota; Metazoa; Chordata; Mammalia; Rodentia; Bathyergidae
Description: lncRNA (ENSFDAG00000028773.1)
Source: RNAcentral